This 220-nucleotide long non-coding RNA is filed under the name Pan troglodytes (chimpanzee). Its description in RNAcentral is "long non-coding RNA NONPTRT010974". Lineage: Eukaryota; Metazoa; Chordata; Mammalia; Primates; Hominidae. The record is from RNAcentral.
GCAUAGGUUAUGUGCAAAUACUACACCACCUUCCUUCAGGGAUUGGGGCCUCUGUGGAUUUGGGUAUCCAUGGAGGUUCCUGGAAUCAAUCCCCCAUGGAUACCAAUGGAUGGCUAUAUUUAAAUAGCAAGGGCAAGAAAUCAUUUAGAACAUGAUUUAAAGAAAUAAAAGCUCCCAUUCAGUAGGAAACCAUAAUCUUUAAUAUUUAGCUGCACCUACU